AACCAUAUUCUAUAUAUAGUUAUUGGUUCUUAACUCAUUAUUAUCGUUGAUUAACUAGUACCAUACAUGUCUUUUUUGGCUUCGGUUCCAGUGAUGCCUUCGACUCAACAUGCCCCUUCUAACUCAAAGCGGCGCUAUGUAAAUUUUGCUCCUAGCAUUUGGCAUGAUACUUUCUUGAAAUAUGCUAAUUCCGAAUCUUUGCUUUAAACCCUUUCUCAUUCUCUCUGCAUUUCACUGACUCAUAAACAAAACAAGCACACUCACAUGCACGGAGAAGAAAUCUAAGAAAGAGAGGCAGCGUCGAUGGAAGAGGAAGACGCGCUAGAACUGGUAGGUUGCGCUGCUGCUGUCGCCGCGAUCUACCCAGCCGUCGUCGCCGUUAUGUGGGGCCGCCGCCAUCCCUGAGCUUGCCACCGUUGCCCUUGUUGCCGAGCAAAAGGGAAAAAAAAGCCACGCGGCAGAAGAGAGAAGGAGGGAAGCUCACCGCGUCACAGUCGUCGCUCCCACCAUGUCGCGCCGCCGCAGGUCCACCUUGGAGCCUCCGUCGAAGCAGAGCCGCGAAGAGAGACGAGUUCGCGUAGGGAAGAGAGAAAUGCGUCCGAGAGAGAGAACGAGCACGAGAGGAAGGAGACAGCCGUUCUCAUCACUGCUAGAGGUUCCACCGCCGUUGUUGGUGCCAACCGAAGUCACCGCCGCCUUUGCAAGCUUUUUCCCAGCUGUUUUGGUUCUGUUCCUGCUGCAACUCGCCAAUGUUCCUACUCAUUUCUGACAUUUGUUCAGCCUUUGCCAGAGCUCGCCGUCGCCGGAGAAACACUUCUAAAACUUCUCAGAUCCGCUGUACCAUUCUUGUUGCGCUCUGAUCGAUUUGAAUCCACCGCUUUUCUUGGUGUUGUGGUCAUUGUCGUUAUAACGGGGAGUUCAUGUUGUUGCUACUGUUGCAGUUCCAGUUGCUGCAGUUUCAAUUUCUGAGUUUCAAUACUAAGUUUUACCUUUUCAGGAACUAGAUGAAGAGGCAUUAAGAAGAGUUAUACUGCGUUUGGUUUAUAUGCUGUUGU
This is a non-coding RNA of Arachis ipaensis, 1055 nucleotides long. The record is from RefSeq and is a predicted model, not a curated record. NCBI's taxonomy places the organism in Eukaryota, Viridiplantae, Streptophyta, Magnoliopsida, Fabales, Fabaceae.